Molecule: ribosomal RNA, 908 nt
Filed under: Hymenella cerealis
Lineage: Eukaryota; Fungi; Ascomycota
Description: LSU rRNA
Rfam family: Eukaryotic large subunit ribosomal RNA
Source: RNAcentral
AGCAUAUCAAUAAGCGGAGGAAAAGAAACCAACAGGGAUUACCUCAGUAACGGCGAGUGAAGCGGUAACAGCUCAAAUUUGAAAGCUCGCUCUUUUAGGGUGCGCAUUGUAAUUUGUAGAAGAUGCUUCGGGUGUGGCCCCGGUCUAAGUUCCUUGGAACAGGACGUCAUAGAGGGUGAGAAUCCCGUAUGUGACUGGGUGCUUUCGCUCAUGUGAAGCUCUUUCGACGAGUCGAGUUGUUUGGGAAUGCAGCUCAAAAUGGGUGGUAAAUUUCAUCUAAAGCUAAAUAUUGGCCAGAGACCGAUAGCGCACAAGUAGAGUGAUCGAAAGAUGAAAAGCACUUUGGAAAGAGAGUUAAACAGUACGUGAAAUUGUUGAAAGGGAAGCGCUUGCAACCAGACUUGCGCGCUGAUGAUCAUCCGGGCUUCUGCCCGGUGCACUCGUCUGCGCUCAGGCCAGCAUCGGUUUUGGUGGUGGGAUAAAGGCCUUGGGAAUGUAGCUUCUUUCGGGGAGUGUUAUAGCCCUCGGUGCAAUGCCGCCUACCGGGACCGAGGACCGCGCUUCGGCUAGGAUGCUGGCGUAAUGGUUGUAAGCGACCCGUCUUGAAACACGGACCAAGGAGUCUAACAUCUAUGCGAGUGUUUGGGUGUCAAACCCAUACGCGUAAUGAAAGUGAACGGAGGUGAGAACCCUUAAGGGUGCAUCAUCGACCGAUCCUGAUGUCUUCGGAUGGAUUUGAGUAAGAGCAUAGCUGUUGGGACCCGAAAGAUGGUGAACUAUGCGUGAAUAGGGUGAAGCCAGAGGAAACUCUGGUGGAGGCUCGCAGCGGUUCUGACGUGCAAAUCGAUCGUCAAAUUUGCGUAUAGGGGCGAAAGACUAAUCGAACCAUCUAGUAGCUGGUUCCUGCG